AUGAACGCUGGCGGCGUGCCUAAUACAUGCAAGUCGAACGAGGUGCUUGAGUAGCAAUACGAGAGUAUCCUAGUGGCGAACGGGUGAGUAACGCGUUGGUGACCUACCCCAAAGUGUGGGAUAACAGUCCGAAAGGACUGCUAAUACCGCAUGUGGUUAUCGGAUUUAGAAACUGAUAUCUAAAGGAGCAAUUCGCUUUGGGAGGGACCUGCGUCCCAUCAGCUAGUUGGUGAGGUAAUGGCUCACCAAGGCUACGACGGGUAGGGGACCUGAGAGGGUGACCCCCCACAAUGGAACUGAAACACGGUCCAUACACCUACGGGUGGCAGCAGUAGGGAAUAUUGCUCAAUGGGCGAAAGCCUGAAGCAGCAACGCCGCGUGUGCGAUGAAGGCCUUCGGGUCGUAAAGCACUUUUCUGAGAGAUGAGCAAGGACAGUAUCUCAGGAAUAAGUCUCGGCUAACUACGU
Molecule: ribosomal RNA, 467 nt
Filed under: uncultured bacterium
Lineage: Bacteria
Description: bacterial SSU rRNA
Rfam family: Bacterial small subunit ribosomal RNA
Source: RNAcentral